GACGAACGCUGGCGGCGUGCUUAACACAUGCAAGUCGAACGGUGAAGCGCCUUCCUUUUUGGUGGGUGUGGAUGAGUGGCGAACGGGUGAGUAACACGUUAGUAACCUGACCCCUUCUUCUGGAUAACCGCAUGAAAGAGUGGCUAAUACGGGAUAUUCUGGGUCUGUCGCAUGAUUGGUCUGGGAAAGAUUUUGUUUCGGUGGUGGAUGGGGUCGCGGCCUAUCAGCUUGUUGGGGGGGUGAUGGCCUACCAAGGCGGUGACGGGUAGCCGGCCUGAGAGGGUCGGCGGUCACACUACGAAGGAGACGCGGAGACGACUCCGACGGGAGGCAGCAGGGAGGAAUACUGCACGAGGGGAGGCAGGAUGGUGCAGCGACGCCGGGGGAAUGAUGGUGUUCUUCUGGUUGUACACUUUUUUCGCGAGUGAAGCAGGCCUGACUCGUUUGUGCGUGGGUUGACGGUAGCUGGACAAGAAGCGACGGCUAACUACGUG
Molecule: ribosomal RNA, 494 nt
Filed under: uncultured bacterium
Lineage: Bacteria
Description: partial 16S ribosomal RNA
Rfam family: Bacterial small subunit ribosomal RNA
Source: RNAcentral